CUAGCCGCCCAGCCGGGUUCUCUCGCCCUCUGGCGGUCCGACUGCGUCAAGCAGAUACAUCCAGCCCUAGGGUUCUAGGACUCAAAGCAGUUGCCCUGCGCGGGGACCCCAUCUGCUCCUGGAAACUACAAGCUUCGGCUUGUGUACCAGCAUUGAGCAUAACAGCCCCCCAAGAGUAAGGGACCUUCCUAGAAACUUCCAACCAAUCCAAACUUCCAGCACUGCUUCCACGGCCUCUGAUCCCACACCACAAGGCACCACCUCUUCACUGCACCAGAAUCUCUCAUCACUUCAGCCGGGUUCCACCUUCCCAGGAGUAGGUCCAGAACCGACCGCAAGGUCAUACGUUGGUCCAAAGCCACAGCCCUACCUGAAAGCUAACGUAAAAACCCAAUGGUUUUUCUUUUCCUGACUCCUUAAAUACCAAGAAAAAGCGACUUCCCCAAAUAGACAGAAACAGAAAGUACCCUUUGGGCGGGCCCAGACGUUGGAACUAGGUGUGAAGGAGCUCAGUGCCCAGCAGGGUCUCUCCACAGUGAUCUCCCUCCCGACUACCUGAGCAGCGUGGUCCAUACAAUUGUCUCUCCAGUCUACUUCGCUCACACAAGGAUCUUGACAUUUGGAGGAGAGGGAUGGAGGAGGCGAGCCCCGCUGUAAAGGAACGGACAAGGUGGACAGUGUGUGUCCGAUGAAGAAGACUGAGAAGAGCACACGUAACAGUCUGGGAGUGAAGUAGGGAAGCUAUGGAAUGUUUGACUUCUGCAUUCUUGCUGAUCCCAAAACGGAAGGCAGAAACCCAGAAACCCAGAAACCCAGCAAUGCUGCCCUCCAAUGGCACUGUGCUCUCUUUCUUACUAGCAGCUGUGGCCCAGAUGUUGAGUUUGAAAUUGUCCUGCCUUCGACACUGGGGUGUGUUGUUGUCCCUGCAGGGCUGACCACCAGCCAGACCUCAAGAGCACCUGGUAUCUUUCGGGACAGAAAUUAAAAUGGCAGCCUCCAGAAACACUCCCCAACCCCCAGUGCAGCUGGGAAGACCCACGGGCACUUCUGUCACUCGGUGGCACCUGGUUACAUUCCCACCACCUUGCAGCUGUUGUUUCCUCUUACAAACAAGGCUGUUUGCAAUCGCCCGGCUUCCCUUCGUUGCCUGAUGUUUUCAAAGAGCACCCUGCCGUUUUGACUUCCCCAUCUUACAUUUAGUCCACUGUGUUCUAGAAGAAGGCCAGAGCCAGCAUGCUAGUUGGCAUACCUUACUGUUGCCACCUUUCCGAAGAAAACUCCCCUGGUUCCUGAAGACCCUUCACCCCAGACCUGUUUCUGGCUUUGUUAGUUCAUAGCCAGUCAACAAAUUACUUCAGCUACCAUUCACUCCUGGGAAAAGACUGAUCCCACAGGAGCUGGGAAACAGAAGAAAAUAAAACAUUCACAUUUGCAGUUUCAGUGUCCGGGGGAAUAUGUAAGGGUCAUAGGCUAAAUUAUUAAGGAUUUACCAAGGCUGGGUAUAGUGGCGCAUGCCUCUAAUCCCAGCACUCAGGAGGCAGAGGUAGGAAGAUCUCUGUGAGUUCGAGGCCAGAGAGUUCUAGAACAGUCAGGACUAUACAGAGAGACCUGGUGUCAACAAAAUAAAGCAAAACAAAACAAGCAAACAAAAAGAAAUGAAGGAAGGAAUGAAGGAAGGAGGAAGAAUGAAAGAAAAGAUUAGUUACCUACAGAGGCUGAAAAGAGGGCUCAUUGGGUAAAAGAGAUCACCUCACAAGCCUGACCACCAGAGCUCCAUCUCUAGAACCCAUGAUGGAAGAGGGAAACACAUUCUGGAAAGUUGUUCUAUGACUUUUUAAAGCAUGUGCCGCAGUACAUAUGAGCCUGUGCUCAUAUACACACAUGCACACACAGGCACUCACAUACACACAUGCAUCCACACACACACACAUAUACUCACAUAACACACAUGCACACACAUGCAAACA
Long non-coding RNA from Apodemus sylvaticus (European woodmouse), 1967 nucleotides. RefSeq lists it as uncharacterized. The transcript has 2 exons. The record is from RefSeq and is a predicted model, not a curated record. NCBI's taxonomy places the organism in Eukaryota, Metazoa, Chordata, Mammalia, Rodentia, Muridae.